CUCUCAGUGACUUGAAAUGUUCUUUUUUCACCUCGUUAAACAAAGAUUCUUCAAAAUGAUAAAUGACUUGUGCAUUUCCAGAACUUAACCAACUCUUUAGGAAAUAAUAGCAGUAUCUGGAAUUGCCUAAUUUGUUGUCAUUGAUGGUUUAAAAAUUGAAGCAGACAAUAUGUCAGAAAUUCUGAUGCAAAACACAAUGAGACGACGUGCUAUCUUGUAAUGAGAGAAAUGUGGCCGCCGGAUGUAAUGAAAAAAUAUGUUUCUGAUACGACAAGAAAAUGUAGAAGUACAAACAAUUACAACCCCUGAAGAUCGGAAAAAAUUGAAAAAAAUUUGUUUAUAUCUGCAAAGACGUCGUGAAAUUCAUUAUGGCAAAAACUCUAACGAUGACAUUGGCAUACAUUUAAAAAAUUGGAUGAGCAUGACUUUUCAUGCAUGCAGAAGAAAAAUGAAAAAAAAAUCAAGAAAAUGUAGUUAAUUAACUUCAUUUUAAGUUAGGAGUACUACGCAAUGGUUACAACUGAUAUGAGUAGAAUAAAUUGCAAACUGUCGUGCUGUGAUAGUUGAUAAUUACACUGAUGCUACUAAUAUUAUUA
This is a long non-coding RNA of Cotesia glomerata, 596 nucleotides long. RefSeq lists it as uncharacterized. The transcript has 3 exons. NCBI's taxonomy places the organism in Eukaryota, Metazoa, Arthropoda, Insecta, Hymenoptera, Braconidae. The record is from RefSeq and is a predicted model, not a curated record.